This 433-nucleotide ribosomal RNA is filed under the name uncultured bacterium. RNAcentral describes it as "partial 16S ribosomal RNA". It matches the Rfam family "Bacterial small subunit ribosomal RNA", at positions 29 to 507 of the family's 1533-position model. The record is from RNAcentral.
AACGAACGCUGGCGGCAGGCCUAACACAUGCAAGUCGAGCGGACCCUUCGGGGUUAGCGGCGGACGGGUGAGUAACGCGUGGGAAUAUGCCCUUCUCUACGGAAUAGUCCUGGGAAACUGGGGGUAAUACCGUAUACGCCCUUUGGGGGAAAGAUUUAUCGGGGAAGGAUUAGCCCGCGUUGGAUUAGGUAGUUGGUGGGGUAAUGGCCUACCACGCCGACGAUCCAUAGCUGGUUUGAGAGGAUGAUCAGCCACACUGGGACUGAGACACGGCCCAGACUCCUACGGGAGGCAGCAGUGGGGAAUCUUAGACAAUGGGGGCAACCCUGAUCUAGCCAUGCCGCGUGAGUGAUGAAGGCCUUAGGGUUGUAAAGCUCUUUCAGCUGGGAAGAUAAUGACGGUACCAGCAGAAGAAGCCCCGGCUAACUCCGUG